CGCACCCGCUCGCCGGUGUCGAGGUGGAUAAGCCUCCCCGACGCCUCGGUCUCCUCCUCCCCUGUCACUCCCAGUUCCCCUCGCCUGCUCCGCCUCUCCCUCUCCCCACCAGAUCCCCCUAGCUCUCCCUCUCCCUAGCUCUUUCUUCCCCUCUGCCCGAGCUCCUCCGAGCAGGCUCAUCGCCGUCCGCCGCUCACAGACGCGGCCAUCGUCGACUCCGCGACCAGCUGAGCAGCUCGGAAGCUCCGCCGGCCUCUCCCUCUUCUCGUGGAGCUCUCAGGCAAAGCCGGGGAGGCCCGCAUCGAUGUCAGCAACCGAUCCCCUUUUCGGCCACUGUGCGUCGUCACCGUUCAACUCCGGCAUCGUCGUGCGCUACUAAGCUCCCGAAGGCCUCCGUGCGCCGCUCGACCCUGACGUCGACGUAGCUCUAGAGACCGGCGCAACUUCGAAGUAUGACUACGCCCCUGACGAUUAGACCCUUGCCGCCGAGCUUCCAGAUGGUGGAGCCCAGGAUCCAGAUGCCACCUUCGACGAUGACUGCUACUACACUGAGGUGCCUACUAGUACGCGGAGGCCGCCGACGACCAGGAGUAGUUAGGAGGCUCCUAGGCAGGAGGCCUUGCCUUUUCGAUCGAUAUUGCUUUUGUGCUAGCCUUCUUAAUGCAAACUUGUUUAACUCAUCUAUGUACUCAGAUAAUGUUGCUUCAGCUGACUCGUUUGUAACCGAGCUUAUGUAUUCGAGCCCUCGAGGCCCUUAGCUUGUAAUAUAAAGCUUGUAUUAUUUUAAUUUG
This 791-nucleotide ribosomal RNA is filed under the name Triticum aestivum (bread wheat). RNAcentral's name for it is "partial small subunit ribosomal RNA". The record is from RNAcentral. Lineage: Eukaryota; Viridiplantae; Streptophyta; Magnoliopsida; Poales; Poaceae.